UACGGAGGGCGCAAGCGUUGUUCGGAAUUACUGGGCGUAAAGCGCGUGUAGGCGGCCAGGUAAGUCGGAUGUGAAAGCCCGGGGCCCAACCCCGGAACUGCACCCGAUACUGCCUGGCUGGAGUCCCGGAGAGGAUGGCGGAAUUUCAGGUGUAGAGGUGAAAUUCGUAGAUAUCGGAAGGAACACCAGUGGCGAAGGCGGCCAUCUGGACGGUGACUGACGCUGAGACGUGAAAGCGUGGGGAGCAAACAGG
This 253-nucleotide ribosomal RNA is filed under the name uncultured bacterium. RNAcentral describes it as "partial 16S ribosomal RNA". It matches the Rfam family "Bacterial small subunit ribosomal RNA", at positions 524 to 776 of the family's 1533-position model. The record is from RNAcentral.